AGAUAAGAUUGAGGAGCAAUAAUUAUCAGUAGUUAUAGAGGGUUAGCCAGCUAUAAUCUAUAAUGAAAGGAAUUAUUGCCGAAGUCUAUCCUAGUGGCUGCUAGGUUAGAUUGGGGCUGUAUUUAAUAAAUACAGAACUGUCACUAAUUUUUAGUGAAGGGCUAUCUUAUCG
Molecule: non-coding RNA, 172 nt
Filed under: Halobacteroides halobius
Lineage: Bacteria; Bacillati; Bacillota; Clostridia; Halanaerobiales; Halobacteroidaceae
Also listed under: 1 other name
Description: Lysine sequence
Rfam family: Lysine riboswitch aptamer
About the family: Riboswitches are metabolite binding domains within certain messenger RNAs that serve as precision sensors for their corresponding targets. Allosteric rearrangement of mRNA structure is mediated by ligand binding, and this results in modulation of gene expression.
Source: RNAcentral